Aplysia californica (California sea hare) is the source of this 793-nucleotide long non-coding RNA. RefSeq lists it as uncharacterized. The record is from RefSeq and is a predicted model, not a curated record. The transcript is spliced from 2 exons. Lineage: Eukaryota; Metazoa; Mollusca; Gastropoda; Aplysiida; Aplysiidae.
UUAAAAACACAUUUCUGCGUGGGUUUUACAGGGAAAAAAUGUUGAUCAAAGACACACAAAUUGUCAGCCACCAAAGUCAGGAUGCUAUUUUCACGAUACGACAGAUGGGUACCACCUCACCCUAUCAAUAUUAUGAUCGGAUCUGCCGACCGUGUGCCAGGGGAAACAACUGUCGAUUUAUAACAGAUAUGAUAGUAAUCUGUUGAUUCAUUCCCUUGGUUAGGGAUUCCAGCCUCGGUCGAACCAGUUCUGACGCCCACCUGCCCAACAUAACCACCUGUACAACCACUUCCCACUUCCCCAUUUUCUUUUUUAAAGACACUGUCCAAUAGGACAGCUUAUUUUCAGAUUACCCUUUUCUCUCCUUGACAGCAAUGGUGUAGAUGGCCUCGUGGUUAGGCUUCGAGACCCAUAAUCGUGAGAUUGCAGGUUGCGGAGUUCGAGCCCCAGCUCGGUCCGACGUUGUGUCAUUGGAAAAGACUUGCUGCUGGUGACCAAGACUUCGCUAGCCCACUAAAAAUAGAUUGAACAGACAAACAAACAAAACACAAAGGAGGUCGUUGCAGGAGAGACACUCGAACAGAGAUCCUAGAAAACUUAAUCCUAUUUUCCUUCUGCAGUUUUCACAAAUCAGAACAAUAAAAAAACGUUUUUAAAAACUGCAACUGAAUAUUCUCAGGUUACCCUUUAAAGAAGAAACAAAUAAAUAAAAAUCAAACUUUAAAAAAGAAAAGAAAAAAAAAGAACAACCCGCAACUGACAGCUCGCAAAACUGGUAACUUGAUUUUAAAAA